This 255-nucleotide ribosomal RNA is filed under the name uncultured bacterium. RNAcentral's name for it is "partial small subunit ribosomal RNA". It matches the Rfam family "Bacterial small subunit ribosomal RNA", at positions 26 to 285 of the family's 1533-position model. The record is from RNAcentral.
AGGACGAACGCUGGCGGCGUGCUUAACACAUGCAAGUCGAGCGGAAAGGCCCUUCGGGGUACUCGAGCGGCGAACGGGUGAGUAACACGUGAGCAACCUGCCCCUAGCUCUGGGAUAGCUCCGGGAAACCGGGAUUAAUACCGGAUAUGACCACUUUAGACAUCUGCUGUGGUGGAAAGAAUUUCGGCUAGGGAUGGACUCGCGGCCUAUCAGCUAGUUGGUGGGGUAAAGGCCUACCGAAGGCGACGACGGGUA